GCCAUGCAUGUCUCAGUACAAGCCAAAUUAAGGUGAAACCGCGAAAGGCUCAUUAAAUCAGUUAUGGUUCCUUAGAUCGUACCCACAUUUACUUGGAUAACUGUGGUAAUUCUAGAGCUAAUACAUGCAAACAGAGCUCCGACCGGAGACGGAAGGAGUGCUUUUAUUAGAACAAAACCAAUCGGCGGCAGUUUAGUUUCGGCUUUAUUGUUCGUCGCACUUUUUGGUGACUCUGAAUAACUUUUGGCUGAUCGCACGGUCUUGCACCGGCGACGCAUCUUUCAAAUGUCUGCCUUAUCAACUGUCGAUGGUAGGAUCUGCGCCUACCAUGGUUGUAACGGGUAACGGGGAAUCAGGGUUCGAUUCCGGAGAGGGAGCCUGAGAAACGGCUACCACAUCCAAGGAAGGCAGCAGGCGCGCAAAUUACCCACUCCCGGCACGGGGAGGUAGUGACGAAAAAUAACGAUACGGGACUCAUCCGAGGCCCCGUAAUCGGAAUGAGUACACUUUAAAUCCUUUAACGAGGACCAAUUGGAGGGCAAGUCUGGUGCCAGCAGCCGCGGUAAUUCCAGCUCCAAUAGCGUAUAUUAAAGUUGUUGCGGUUAAAAAGCUCGUAGUUGAAUUUGUGUCCCGCGCUGUCGGUUCACCGCCCGCGGUGUUUAACUGGCACGUCUCGCGGGACGUCCUGCCGGUGGAUGUGUGGUCUUUGUAUUCUCUCCCAUCAUUAUUAACGUGUGCAUUUAUGUUACUGUUAAUGUGGUGUGUGGGGUUUCAUUGUUACCUCCAUCCGACUAAGUUAUCCUGUCGCGGUGCUCUUAAUUGAGUGUCGAGGCGGGCCGGCACGUUUACUUUGAACAAAUUAGAGUGCUCAAAGCAGGCUAAAAUUUUGCCUGAAUAUUGUGUGCAUGGAAUAAUGGAACAGGACCUCGGUUCUAUUUUGUUGGUUUUCGGAACCCCGAGGUAAUGAUUAAUAGGGACAGAUGGGGGCAUUCGUAUUGCGACGUUAGAGGUGAAAUUCUUGGAUCGUCGCAAGACGGACAGAAGCGAAAGCAUUUGCCAAAAAUGUUUUCAUUAAUCAAGAACGAAAGUCAGAGGUUCGAAGGCGAUCAGAUACCGCCCUAGUUCUGACCAUAAACGAUGCCAGCUAGCGAUCCGCCGACGUUCCUCCGAUGACUCGGCGGGCAGCUUCCGGGAAACCAAAGCUUUUGGGUUCCGGGGGAAGUAUGGUUGCAAAGCUGAAACUUAAAGGAAUUGACGGAAGGGCACCACCAGGAGUGGAGCCUGCGGCUUAAUUUGACUCAACACGGGAAACCUCACCAGGCCCGGACACCGGAAGGAUUGACAGAUUGAGAGCUCUUUCUUGAUUCGGUGGGUGGUGGUGCAUGGCCGUUCUUAGUUGGUGGAGCGAUUUGUCUGGUUAAUUCCGAUAACGAACGAGACUCUAGCCUGCUAACUAGGCGUUAACUUACCGGUAUCCUGAAGGCUUGUGUCUCUUGUUUUCUGUCAUAUUCUUGUCGUCGUGUAUUUUCGUUUCGGCGUUAAUGCAUAACACUUUAUAUGUUCAGGGCAAGAGUUCACAGUUUUUACUACCGGCGUACAUACAAAUCUUCUUAGAGGGACAGGCGGCUCCUAGCCGCACGAGAUUGAGCAAUAACAGGUCUGUGAUGCCCUUAGAUGUUCUGGGCCGCACGCGCGCUACACUGAAGGAAUCAGCGUGUCUUCCCUGGCCGAAUGGUCCGGGUAACCCGCUGAACCUCCUUCGUGCUAGGGAUUGGGGCUUGCAAUUGUUCCCCAUGAACGAGGAAUUCCCAGUAAGCGCGAGUCAUAAGCUCGCGUUGAUUACGUCCCUGCCCUUUGUACACACCGCCCGUCGCUACUACCGAUUGAAUGAUUUAGUGAGGUCUUCGGACUGGUACGCGGCGAUAUUUCGAUAUUGCCGAUGUCSCUGGGAAGAUGAC
RNAcentral lists this ribosomal RNA (1958 nucleotides) under Pachydesus rufipes. Its description in RNAcentral is "SSU rRNA". It matches the Rfam family "Eukaryotic small subunit ribosomal RNA". The record is from RNAcentral. Lineage: Eukaryota; Metazoa; Arthropoda; Insecta; Coleoptera; Carabidae.